RNAcentral lists this unclassified non-coding RNA (2021 nucleotides) under uncultured fungus. Its description in RNAcentral is "sequence contains 18S rRNA gene, ITS1, 5.8S rRNA gene, ITS2, 28S rRNA gene". The stretch from base 921 to 2021 matches the Rfam family "Eukaryotic large subunit ribosomal RNA", at positions 1 to 961 of the family's 3401-position model. Lineage: Eukaryota; Fungi. The record is from RNAcentral.
GGAGGAUCAUUAAAUAAAAACAUUCAAAGUCUGCAGGCACUCGAAAGGGUGUUUGCAGCAACAGACACUUGUGUGGCAAAACCGUGAAUUAUAAUAUUUUUCAAACACUUAAAAAUCAUUUUUUUUUGAUCAACACAGACCAAGGACACAUUACUUACCUCUUAUAACACAAGAAAUGGUUGGAGGAAAGCUAGCUGGUGUUUUUUUUUUUUGGGGUUUUAAAAAAGGACUGAAAAGAACAGUAAGUACAGGUAAACUGGACUUACCAAAAGAAAAGGUCUUCUUUUUUUUUUUCCCCUCUUUAAAAACUAACUGGUUGGUUGCACUUUGUCCCUUAUUUGUGUACAUUAACUGGUAAGUAAUUAAUACUUGUAUAAGUGUUGUAAAAAAAUUACAAUAACUAUACAACUCUCAGCGAUGGAUCCCUAGGCUCCUUUAUCGAUGAAGAGCACAGCGAACUGUGAUAAGUAAUACGAAUUGCAGAAUACAGUGAGUCAUCGAAAUCUUGAACGCACUGCACCGUAGAGGCAACUUUACGGUAUGUCCCAUUGAAUGUCCACACAAUAAGCAAAGCAUUCACAAUUUAUUGUGAGAGCAUCAUUAACCCUCAUUUAAUGUGGGUUGAUGGACUUGGAUUUCAGCAAACCAUUUGGUUGGUGAGUUGAUCUCUUAAAUAAAUAGAGUAAAGACUUUAACUGCAACUCAAAGUCUGCACAGUCUUAAGUCUAGAUAGAGACUUUGUUUUCUUCCUCAAGACUUUUACACUGUCUGACACCGAAACGAGUAGUGGAAUAAGACUUUACACUUUGGGGAGGGGGUAGAAAGAGUAGUAAACAAGGAGGUGUAAGCUUCCCUGAUUAUAUAUACACUUUCUUCUCCUCUUCUUCUCUCACUUAUUUCUGGGGUGACCAUUCAACAACUGACUUCAAUUGGGGGCAUGACUACUUGCUGAACUUAAGCAUAUCAAUAAGCAAAGGAAAAGAAAUUAACAAAGAUUCCCUCAGUAACUGCGAGUGAAGCGGGAAUAGCUCAAUCCCUAAUCUGCUGUGGACAUCCACAGCCGAAUUGUAGUUUUGUGAUCAGCUUCAAGCUCUGACAUGGGAUCUAAGUCUCCUGGAACGGAGCACCAUAGAAGGUGACAGUCCUGUGAGGUCCUGUGGCUGGGGCAAUUGUUGCUGCAUCGACGAGUCGAGUUGUUUUGUAGUACAGCUCAAAAUGGGUGGUAUGUUCCAUCUAAAGCUAAAUAUCAGAAAGGAGACCGAUAGCAAACAAGUACCGUGAGGGAAAGGUGAAAAGUACCUUGAAAAGAGGGUGAAAAGUGCGUGAAAUUGCUGAGAGGGAAGUGUACGUACUCAUUGUUGCUGUGUCCAAAUCAAUUGUCACUGGGCAGCUUGGUGGCAUAAGGAUGUGCAUUAUUGUACACCUUGUGUUAUCAUUAAGUCUUGUGGCGGUGCACUUUGGAUGUAGCAACCACCAGCUCUGCAACUUGGAGGAUAAAGCUUUGUACUUGGAAGCAGCAUUUUGCUGUGGAGGUAUGAGGUGGGACUCUAGGUUUCAGAGACCAAAUGAGUGGCAUUAUCAGGCCUGGUUGGGGCAGUGUAGGUGCCAAUGCUAAGACAAGGCAACUUGUCCGGUGUUGGUGUUGAAUCUCGCUUCGACUGGUGCAGAUGCUGCGAAUGGGUGGGACAUCUGGGUAUGUAUAUCCCGUCUUGAAACACGGACCAAGGAGUUUAACUUGUAUGCAAGUGCAAGAGUUAUUAAACUUUUGCGCGAAGUGAAAGCGAAUGUGGGACAGGAACUGCUAGCAGGUCCUCGCACCACAGACCGAUCUAGAGACAUGUCAAAGGAUUCGAGUUGGAGCACACAAGUUAAGACCCGAAAGAUUACGAACUAUACUUGUGUAGAACGAAGCCAGAAGAAAUCCUGGUGGAAGUUCGAAACGGUUCUGACGUGCAAAUCGAUCGUCAAACAUGAGCAUAGCGGCGAAAGACUAAUCGAGUAAUCUAGUAGCUGGUUCCUUC